UUCUGGCUCAGGAUGAACGCUGGCGGCGUGCCUAAUACAUGCAAGUCGAACGAGUUCUCGUUGAUGAUCGGUGCUUGCACCGAGAUUCAACAUGGAACGAGUGGCGGACGGGUGAGUAACACGUGGGUAACCUGCCCUUAAGUGGGGGAUAACAUUUGGAAACAGAUGCUAAUACCGCAUAGAUCCAAGAACCGCAUGGUUCUUGGCUGAAAGAUGGCGUAAGCUAUCGCUUUUGGAUGGACCCGCGGCGUAUUAGCUAGUUGGUGAGGUAAUGGCUCACCAAGGCGAUGAUACGUAGCCGAACUGAGAGGUUGAUCGGCCACAUUGGGACUGAGACACGGCCCAAACUCCUACGGGAGGCAGCAGUAGGGAAUCUUCCACAAUGGACGCAAGUCUGAUGGAGCAACGCCGCGUGAGUGAAGAAGGCUUUCGGGUCGUAAAACUCUGUUGUUGGAGAAGAAUGGUCGGCAGAGUAACUGUUGUCGGCGUGACGGUAUCCAACCAGAAAGCCACGGCUAACUACGUGCCAGCAGCCGCGGUAAUACGUAGGUGGCAAGCGUUAUCCGGAUUUAUUGGGCGUAAAGCGAGCGCAGGCGGUUUUUUAAGUCUGAUGUGAAAGCCCUCGGCUUAACCGAGGAAGCGCAUCGGAAACUGGGAAACUUGAGUGCAGAAGAGGACAGUGGAACUCCAUGUGUAGCGGUGAAAUGCGUAGAUAUAUGGAAGAACACCAGUGGCGAAGGCGGCUGUCUGGUCUGUAACUGACGCUGAGGCUCGAAAGCAUGGGUAGCGAACAGGAUUAGAUACCCUGGUAGUCCAUGCCGUAAACGAUGAAUGCUAGGUGUUGGAGGGUUUCCGCCCUUCAGUGCCGCAGCUAACGCAUUAAGCAUUCCGCCUGGGGAGUACGACCGCAAGGUUGAAACUCAAAGGAAUUGACGGGGGCCCGCACAAGCGGUGGAGCAUGUGGUUUAAUUCGAAGCAACGCGAAGAACCUUACCAGGUCUUGACAUCUUUUGAUCACCUGAGAGAUCAGGUUUCCCCUUCGGGGGCAAAAUGACAGGUGGUGCAUGGUUGUCGUCAGCUCGUGUCGUGAGAUGUUGGGUUAAGUCCCGCAACGAGCGCAACCCUUAUGACUAGUUGCCAGCAUUUAGUUGGGCACUCUAGUAAGACUGCCGGUGACAAACCGGAGGAAGGUGGGGAUGACGUCAAAUCAUCAUGCCCCUUAUGACCUGGGCUACACACGUGCUACAAUGGAUGGUACAACGAGUUGCGAGACCGCGAGGUCAAGCUAAUCUCUUAAAGCCAUUCUCAGUUCGGACUGUAGGCUGCAACUCGCCUACACGAAGUCGGAAUCGCUAGUAAUCGCGGAUCAGCACGCCGCGGUGAAUACGUUCCCGGGCCUUGUACACACCGCCCGUCACACCAUGAGAGUUUGUAACACCCGAAGCCGGUGGCGUAACCCUUUUAGGGAGCGAGCCGUCUAAGGUGGGACAAAUGAUUAGGGUGAAGUCGUA
This 1511-nucleotide ribosomal RNA is filed under the name Lacticaseibacillus paracasei subsp. paracasei. RNAcentral describes it as "bacterial SSU rRNA". It matches the Rfam family "Bacterial small subunit ribosomal RNA". The record is from RNAcentral. Lineage: Bacteria; Bacillati; Bacillota; Bacilli; Lactobacillales; Lactobacillaceae.